CUUUUUCAGUCUGGUAGCUCGUAAGGUCAGUGUUGUGACAUGAAAACAACCAUAGCCACCCCGCAACCACCCCUUCCCUAUUCAUCCACAGUGGAAGGAGGAUGAUGGGGUGGAGUGUCGGGGUUGGGAGAGACACCCAGAGAGAUCUCCAACACCCAGCAACCGGACAGGCUGAGGGUCAACUUGUUGAGGCCAGUCCGGGUGGAUUACUGUGACCAAUAGCCCUGCUUGUGUCUACCCGGAGUCUGAUGUAUUUCUGAUAUAUUGUCGACUAUUUCUUAUGGCGCCCGGCGGCUGAUGUGUCAAUCUCUUUGAGGAAAUAAUUGAAACAUUUUCCAGUCACGAAGGGGAGAAGGGGGGAGGAGAGACAACGGGCUUUCAUCGAUCGCUGAUGCUCCUGCAAGCGUGUGGUCGGGUGCAUGAGCGAGUCAGUGUGCGCGUGCACGCACUUGGCUGUGUACGUGUGUCAGAGUGUGUGUUCGCGUGCGUUUCUCUCAACGACGCCCGUACAUGGAAAGACAAACUGGAUUUUUCAACCAAAUUUGUCUAUUUAAAAAAUGUUUCCCUUUAGGAACUGAACCCGACAGCGCUGACUUUUCUCGUAUUCAAGACUCCACAGACGUUGUCAUCAAAUGUCGUGACAGUUGGCGACGACGACCUUUUCCUUGAAAUAUUCGUUUGUGCCCUUCGACCCCACCUUUUCUCCUCGAUAAGCUCGAGAGAAACACUUUCAUGAUUUGUGUGCGUGCGUGCGCGUGCGUGCUGGACACCAAACUUGCUGAAUGAAGUUGAUGCGAGGCAAGACAGGGACGAAUCAUGUACAAUGCUCGGCAAUAGCUGUGACAUCUUUUCGUGACUCCAUCGAUGUCCACGCUGCCUCAGUGGGAGGUAGGGAAGGGGCGUGCCAGCCUCCACCGCCACCUCGCUCCUGUGUGUGCCCAGCAUCAGUUCAGGUGUCGAUGUACGCCGGUCAACAACGGCUUCAGACAUCUGCCCACGCGCCAACAGCCCCUUCUUGGGGUCAAGUGAAGACAGGUGAUAAAGAACAAAGAGGAGGAGGAGGAGGUAUCAAGGAGGAGAGUGGCAGUUCUUAUGCGUCAGGGGAAAUAAGAGAGGCGACAUCUACAAAACUCUAAGCUUAUGAAUGAAUCACAGCGGGGAGCAAACUCUUGAAAUGAAGCUCAAGGGAGGAAACUUUAUCUCAAGACAUUUUUAAAAGGACUUGAAUGAGCCUCGUAGAGGAUGAAAAGAUGCAAAUGGACAGCAGAAGUAGCUCAAGCUUUACCAAAAAAGCUUUAGUUUAGCUUUAGUUUAGCAGAGUUAGCUUUAGUUUAGCAGAUUUAGCUUUAGCUUAGCAAGUUUAGCUUUAGUGUAGUCAGCAUUGUGCUAAUGAAACUCACAAAUAUUCUACAUAAUUCAUCUUUAAUGUGUGACAGACAAUGCCAAAGUAACGGAUCCAGGUUUGUUUUUCGUUGAUUAUUUAUUCAUGUCAACAUCUCAUUCAUGUUAUUGUUUACUUUGAAAGGCGAGAAGCAAACAUAAAAGCUGAAAAUAGAAA
This is a long non-coding RNA of Pomacea canaliculata, 1558 nucleotides long. RefSeq lists it as uncharacterized. The transcript has 2 exons. The record is from RefSeq and is a predicted model, not a curated record. Lineage: Eukaryota; Metazoa; Mollusca; Gastropoda; Architaenioglossa; Ampullariidae.